Molecule: ribosomal RNA, 460 nt
Filed under: uncultured bacterium
Lineage: Bacteria
Description: partial 16S ribosomal RNA
Rfam family: Bacterial small subunit ribosomal RNA
Source: RNAcentral
CCUACGGGCGGCAGCAGUGAGGAAUAUUGGUCAAUGGGCGAGAGCCUGAACCAGCCAAGUCGCGUGAAGGAUGACGGCCCUACGGGUUGUAAACUUCUUUUGUCAGGGAGCAAUUGAGUCCACGUGUGGGCUUAGCGAGAGUACCUGAAGAAAAAGCAUCGGCUAACUCCGUGCCGGCAGCCGCGGUAAUACGGAGGAUGCGAGGGUUGUCAGGAUUUAUUGGGUUUAAAGGGUGCGUAGGCGGAAUAUCAAGUCAGCGGUAAAAAGUCGGGGCUCAACCCCGUCGUGCCGUUGAAACUGAUGUUCUGGAGUGGGCGAGAAGUAUGCGGAAUGCGUGGUGUAGCGGUGAAAUGCAUAGAUAUCACGCAGAACUCCGAUUGCGAAGGCAGCAUACCGGCGCCCAACUGACGCUGAAGCACGAAAGCGUGGGUAUCGAACAGGAUUAGAUACCCUGGUAGUC